Molecule: ribosomal RNA, 253 nt
Filed under: uncultured bacterium
Lineage: Bacteria
Description: partial 16S ribosomal RNA
Rfam family: Bacterial small subunit ribosomal RNA
Source: RNAcentral
UACGAAGGGAGCUAGCGUUGUUCGGAAUCACUGGGCGUAAAGCGCACGUAGGCGGAUGUGUCAGUCAGGGGUGAAAUCCCGGAGCUCAACUUCGGAACUGCCUUUGAUACAGCACGUCUUGAGUCCGGAAGAGGUGGGUGGAAUUCCUAGUGUAGAGGUGAAAUUCGUAGAUAUUAGGAAGAACACCGGUGGCGAAGGCGGCCCACUGGUCCGGUACUGACGCUGAGGUGCGAAAGUGCGGGGAGCAAACAGG